AUUGAACGCUGGCGGCAUGCUUUACACAUGCAAGUCGAACGGCAGCGCGGGGCAACCUGGCGGCGAGUGGCGAACGGGUGAGUAAUAUAUCGGAACGUACCCAGAAGUGGGGGAUAACGUAGCGAAAGUUACGCUAAUACCGCAUACGAUCUACGGAUGAAAGUGGGGGACCUUCGGGCCUCAUGCUUUUGGAGCGGCCGAUAUCUGAUUAGCUAGUUGGUGAGGUAAAGGCUCACCAAGGCGACGAUCAGUAGCUGGUCUGAGAGGACGACCAGCCACACUGGGACUGAGACACGGCCCAGACUCCUACGGGAGGCAGCAGUGGGGAAUUUUGGACAAAUGGGGGGCAAACCCUGAUCCAGCAAUGCCGCGUGAGUGAAGAAGGCCU
This 388-nucleotide ribosomal RNA is filed under the name uncultured bacterium. RNAcentral describes it as "bacterial SSU rRNA". It matches the Rfam family "Bacterial small subunit ribosomal RNA", at positions 30 to 417 of the family's 1533-position model. The record is from RNAcentral.